GGGGGCUGACGCCUGCCCAGUGCCGGAAGGUAAAGGAAAUUAGUUAUUUUUUUAAAGAAGCUAAUAACUGAAGCCCCGGUGAACGGCGGCCGUAACUCUGACGGUCCUAAGGUAGCGAAAUUCCUUGUCGCGUAAGUUGUGACCCGCACGAAAGGCGUAACGAUCUGGGUACUGUCUCAAAGAGAGACUCGGUGAAAUAAUAAUGUUUGUGAAGAUACAAACUUCUUACACCUGGACAGAAAGACCCUAUGAAGCUUGACUGUAUCCUGGAAUUGAGUUUGGAUUUUAUUUGCGCAGUCUAGGUGGGAGGCUAUGAUUGUAUUUUUUUGGAAAUACAUGAGCCAUUAUUGAGAGACCACUCUUAAAAAAUUAAAAUUCUAAUAAUGGUCCUUAUUUUGGACGUUUGACAGUUUUAGGUGGACAGUUUUUUUGGGGCGAAAACCUCCUAAAAGGUAACGGAGGUGUACAAAGGUUCCCUCAGACUGGACGGAAAUCAGUCGUAGAGCGCAAAGGCAAAAGGGAGCUUAACUGCAAGACUGACAGGUCGAGCAGAGGCGAAAGCCGGUCUUAGUGAUCCGACGAUACUGUGUGGAAAGGUCGUCGCUCAACGGAUAAAAGUUACUCUAGGGAUAACAGGCUGAUCUUCCCCAAGAGUUCAUAUCGACGGGAAGGUUUGGCACCUCGAUGUCGGCUCAUCGCAACCUGGGGCGGUAGCACGU
This 719-nucleotide ribosomal RNA is filed under the name uncultured Ostreobium. RNAcentral describes it as "partial large subunit ribosomal RNA". It matches the Rfam family "Bacterial large subunit ribosomal RNA", at positions 1847 to 2563 of the family's 2925-position model. The record is from RNAcentral. Lineage: Eukaryota; Viridiplantae; Chlorophyta; Ulvophyceae; Bryopsidales; Ostreobiaceae.